AUCCAGACUCCUACGGGAGGCAGCAGUGGGGAAUAUUGGGCAAUGGGGGGAACCCUGAUCCAGCGACGCCGCGUGAGUGAAGAAGUAUUUCGGUAUGUAAAGCUCUCUCAGCAGGGAAGAAAGAAAUGACGGUACCUGACUAAGAAGCCCCGGCUAACUACGUGCCAGCAGCCGCGGUAAUACGUAGGGGGCAAGCGUUAUCCGGAAUCACUGGGUGUAAAGGGAGCGUAGACGGCUGUGCAAGCCUGAAGUGAAAGGCGGGGGCCCAACCCCUGGACUGCUUUGGGAACUGUACGGCUGGAGUGCAGGAGAGGUAAGUGGAAUUCCUAGUGUAGCGGUGAAAUGCGUAGAUAUCAGGAGGAACACCAGUGGCGAAGGCGGCUUGCUGGACGAUGACUGACGUUGAGGCUCGAAAGCGUGGGGAGCAAACAGGAUUAGAUACCCGGGUA
This 449-nucleotide ribosomal RNA is filed under the name uncultured bacterium. RNAcentral's name for it is "bacterial SSU rRNA". It matches the Rfam family "Bacterial small subunit ribosomal RNA", at positions 329 to 792 of the family's 1533-position model. The record is from RNAcentral.